GAGAUCAAUUAUAAUUUACAUAGUUAAUUAUAAUUAAUUAAUUUUGUAGCAGUGAAUUUCUGAUUGACGUAUCUGAUAAAUCACAUGAAGUCAAUGGUCCCAUCCGAGAAGUGGGCGAGCACAAAGGGCAACACCUUGUAAAGAGCAGGGCUAGAAAUCGGGUGUGAUCGUUUAACUGCCCCUCCAUAUGUUGAAGAUAUAACGAGAGAACGAGAGGCACAAGAAGGCGGGCACUCGAUGAAAUGCUUUAUAGAUUACCUUCUCGUUCACGCCAUUGUUUCCAGCCGUACUGGCCUGUUAGCGUGUCGAUCUUUCUGAAGGAUUCGUUAUAUCCUCGUAGAAGGCAGAUGUUGGUACAUUGGGAUACUCUGAUGCUGGGAUAGUGAGAAACUUGGAUACUGAUAGAGUGAGACAUAGUGAUUUUGAGACACUGAGACACCCUGAUACUGAGACAGUGAGACAUAGUGACUCUGAGACACUCAGAUAUUGGAACACUGAGAAUCUGAGACAUUGCAACACUGGGACAUUAAGACAUUGUGACAUGUAGACACAAUGACACUGAGACACUGAGACAUUUAGGCAUUGACACAUAGUGACAUUGAGAUACUGAGACAUUUAGACAUUGAGACAUAGUAAUGUCUAGUAUAGUCAGAUAUUGGGACACUGAGACUUUGAGACAUUGGAACACUUGGACACUCAGACAUUGAGACACUGAGACACUGAGACAUUGAGACAUUGAGAC
Molecule: long non-coding RNA, 742 nt
Organism: Megachile rotundata (alfalfa leafcutting bee)
Lineage: Eukaryota; Metazoa; Arthropoda; Insecta; Hymenoptera; Megachilidae
Source: RefSeq, a predicted model, not a curated record